RNAcentral lists this long non-coding RNA (295 nucleotides) under Sorghum bicolor (sorghum). RNAcentral's name for it is "long non-coding RNA (SBIC_LNC015489)". Lineage: Eukaryota; Viridiplantae; Streptophyta; Magnoliopsida; Poales; Poaceae. The record is from RNAcentral.
GCGUUGCUGCCAGUCAGUCAGUGGCCUACUGACCUACAGUAGCUUUUUGGUGGAAUAGAAUCACAGAGCACCGCUGUAACGUGCACGGUUAAUUAAACAUGGUUCCGACCCGAUCACGGAAGCGGGAUAGCGGCGAAGAAGCAGCCACUUACGGUUGGUUUCUCUUUUUUUUUCUUUUCCUUAUUAUUAGGUGAGUGCUUGUACGUUGCAACAUGAUAAAAUUUUUUUAUAAAAUUACCUGAUUCAUUGUGCGAAGCUAAUAUAAAAUAGUAUCACACCACAAUUACAUGCCACA